This 412-nucleotide unclassified non-coding RNA is filed under the name Rosenbergiodendron longiflorum. Its description in RNAcentral is "partial external transcribed spacer". The record is from RNAcentral. Lineage: Eukaryota; Viridiplantae; Streptophyta; Magnoliopsida; Gentianales; Rubiaceae.
UCCCCGCCGGAGCGGCGACGUCCUCCCUUGCAUCCCUCCUCAGUCGUCGGCCCAAGAGCAACGUGACCGGCCUUGGCCGCCCGCGGGUUUCCUGUAUUGCGUACCUACCGGAAGGAAUUCGUACGUCGCAACGACCGACGUUCUCCCGGCGCUGUGGCCGCCCUCGGGUGGGCACGGCGCGGGGCGAACCGCGAAGGCGAGUUCGUGGUCCGAGUCGCAUCCAAGCGUCUCGGCGCACGAGCUGCCGCCUGAGCUCUCGGACGCAGUGCACCGUGAGGGCGGGGUUGCUGGACGACCCCCGUUUGCCCGAACUCGGCGUCAAUCGCCCGCACCGAACGACUGCCGUCGUCGCCUCGAGGCUGCCGCGCGCCCCGUCGGGGCUGCCGGGCUCGUGCGACGCCGGCGUCGGUUA